AAAUGUUCUUUAUCUUACUUAGUACCACUUUUCAUGCUCAGCACCAAGGUGUGUAUACAGCUGGAUCAGAAAUCACAUAAAGUCGGGGGAGAUGUCUAACAAAGACAUUAAGGAAAAGCUAGGCAAACAUCUGUAGUUCCAGCACUUGGAAGACUGAGGCAGAAGACAGCUGUAAGCUGAAGCUAACCUGAACAAAAACAGCAAAAUUCCUGUCUCCCCACCACCACACCCUCCCCACACACAAAACAGCUAUACUAUAUACUUCAGAAAAGAUGGAAGACCAUGGAUCUAGGGAGGGCAAACUAAGACAUCAAGGUAGAAAAUGUCAUUUGUCUGAACCUUCAGUCUUGUCUUUGCAGACAGGGCCUCACUAUGUUGCACUGGCUGUCCUGGAACUGACUGUAGACUAGACUCAGAUCUGCCUGCCUCCCCAAGGCUGAGAUCAAAGGUGUUUAAAGGGUUAAAGUGCUGCUGUGAAUUUUAAAGGAACUAUAGCUGGCUGAAGAGAUACCCCAGUGGCUGCUCAUCCUGUGACCCAGGAUCAAGUCCUAGCACCUAUGUGGAUGCUAACACCAGUCUCAGAGGAUCUGACUCCCUCCUCAGGGAGCACCAGGCACCAAAGAGGUACACAGACAUGUUGGCAAACAUCCACACACAUGAAAAUAAAUUAAAAAUUAGAAGAAAAAUAUCCUACAUGUGAAAAUAAAUAAUUUUUUUUAAUCC
Molecule: long non-coding RNA, 723 nt
Filed under: Mus musculus (house mouse)
Lineage: Eukaryota; Metazoa; Chordata; Mammalia; Rodentia; Muridae
Description: long non-coding RNA chr4:86579208-86579931
Source: RNAcentral